RNAcentral lists this ribosomal RNA (482 nucleotides) under uncultured bacterium. Its description in RNAcentral is "partial 16S ribosomal RNA". It matches the Rfam family "Bacterial small subunit ribosomal RNA", at positions 30 to 507 of the family's 1533-position model. The record is from RNAcentral.
AUUGAACGCUGGCGGCAUGCUUUACACAUGCAAGUCGAACGGUAACAGGCCGCAAGGUGCUGACGAGUGGCGCACGGGUGAGUAAUGCAUCGGAACGUGCCCAGUCGUGGGGGAUAACUACUCGUAAGAGUAGCUAAUACCGCAUACGAUCUAUGGAUGAAAGCGGGGGACCGUAAGGCCUCGCGCGAUUGGAGCGGCCGAUGUCAGAUUAGGUGGUUGGUGGGGUAAAGGCUCACCAAGCCAACGAUCUGUAGCUGGUCUGAGAGGACGACCAUCCACACUGGGAGUGAGACACGGCCCAGACUCCUACGGGAGGCAGCAGUGGGGAAUUUUGGACAAUGGGCGCAAGCCUGAUCCAGCAAUGCCGCGUGCAGGAAGAAGGCCUUCGGGUUGUAAACUGCUUUUGUACGGAACGAAACGGCUCUGGUUAAUACCCGGGGCUAAUGACGGUACCGUAAGAAUAAGCACCGGCUAACUACGUG